AUUGAACGCUGGCGGCAGGCUUAACACAUGCAAGUCGAGCGGGGUGAUGGUGCUUGCACUAUCACUUAGCGGCGGACGGGUGAGUAAUGCUUAGGAAUCUGCCUAUUAGUGGGGGACAACAUCUCGAAAGGGAUGCUAAUACCGCAUACGUCCUACGGGAGAAAGCAGGGGAUCACUUGUGACCUUGCGCUAAUAGAUGAGCCUAAGUCGGAUUAGCUAGUUGGUGGGGUAAAGGCCUACCAAGGCGACGAUAUGUAGCGGGUCUGAGAGGAUGAUCCGCCACGCUGGGACUGAGACACGGCCCAGACUCCUACGGGAGGCAGCAGUGGGGAAUAUUGGACAAUGGGGGGAACCCUGAUCCAGCCAUGCCGCGUGUGUGAAGAAGGCCUUAUGGUUGUAAAGCACUUUAAGCGAGGAGGAGGCUCUUUUGGUUAAUACCCAAGAUGAGUGGACGUUACUCGCAGAAUAAGCACCGGCUAACUCUGUGCCAGCCGCCGCGGUAA
RNAcentral lists this ribosomal RNA (503 nucleotides) under uncultured bacterium. RNAcentral's name for it is "partial 16S ribosomal RNA". It matches the Rfam family "Bacterial small subunit ribosomal RNA", at positions 30 to 523 of the family's 1533-position model. The record is from RNAcentral.